RNAcentral lists this long non-coding RNA (284 nucleotides) under Mytilus galloprovincialis (Mediterranean mussel). The record is from RNAcentral. Lineage: Eukaryota; Metazoa; Mollusca; Bivalvia; Mytilida; Mytilidae.
GUAUUUUAAGAGAUUUGAAACUGUUCCUGGUAUGUUAAACACAUAUAAAUCUGAGAUUGAACAAAACAGAGUUUCAUUUAUUUUAAGAUCUACUAUUAUAUAUCAUACCAACGCAGUGGCGGAUGCAGGAAUUUUCGAAAGGGGGGGUGCUAGCCCAGGGCAAAGGGGGGGUGCAGGGGGGGUGCAAACAUAUGUCCCGAUUCAAAUGCAUUGAUCGGCCAAAAUAAAGGGGGGUGCGGACCCCCGGAACCCCCCCCCUCUGGAUCCGCCACUGCAACGUUUUU